CCUACGAGAGGCAGCAGUAGGGAAUUUUGCGCAAUGGGGGAAACCCUGACGCAGCAACGCCGCGUGAUCGAUGAAGCCCUUCGGGGUGUACAGAUCUGUCAGUGGGGACGAAACCUGACGGUACCCACAGGGGACGCACCGGCUAACUCCGUGCCAGCAGCCUCGGUAAUUCGGGGGGUGCAAGCGUUGUCCGGAGUACUUGGGCGUAAAGAGUUCGUAGGUGGCACGUGAAGUCUGGUGUGAAAGGGGGAAGCGCAACUUCCGUAGGGCACUGGAUACUGGCGAGCUUGAAUGCGGUAGAGGUAAAGGGAAUGCCUGGUGUAGCGGGGAAAUGCGUAGAUAUCAGGAGGAACAUCGGUGGCGUAGGCGCUUUACUGGGCCGUAAUUGACACUGAGGAACGAAAGCCGGGGUAGCAAAUGGGAUUAGAUACCCCAGUAGUC
RNAcentral lists this ribosomal RNA (441 nucleotides) under uncultured bacterium. Its description in RNAcentral is "partial 16S ribosomal RNA". It matches the Rfam family "Bacterial small subunit ribosomal RNA", at positions 338 to 795 of the family's 1533-position model. The record is from RNAcentral.